AGACGCCAGCAUCAGACCCUCACCAGCCGUGCCUUGAAACCUGGAUUGCCAUUGUUAGAAUAUUUGACCUUCCUUUGUUCACUGACUUCGCCUUUUGGAAGAUGACCUGACUUGCUUGGGUGCACAAGAUUGGAAAAAUGGGAAAUGGAGAGAACUGAAAUGGACUGAUCUCCCCACUCCUGGGGGCAGUACUGAAAGUGAAGCGUGGGAAGAUGAACAUUCUAAUGCUGAUCUUCGCGAGGCCUUCAUUGGAAAGCUGCCCACCUGUAGAAUUCCCUCCUGUUGGUGAUACCCAGAUUCCUCCUGUUGAUGCAUCUUUGGCUCCUACUGAAGACAGUAUAGUUUGGUAUAGGAGGGUUUAUAAGACAAUUGUGCUGUUGUUUUAUUCUGCAUUUUAUUGUCCAGUGUUCACUUUUGUUAGAGGGCGGUCUACAAAUGUAAUAAAUAAUAAUUAAACCAACAAUGACAACAAUCACACACACGAAGAGCAACGGAAGACUUAGGCCUCAUCUGCACCAUACAUUUAAAGCACUGCUAUACUGCUACAACAGAAAUGGCUCCCACAAAAGAAUCCUGGGGACUGCAGUGUGUUAAGAAUGCUGAGAGGCAGAAGCCCCUGUUCUCCUUGCAGUACUACCAUUUUCUUUGAGUGGUUUAACAAUCAAUCCCUCUUCCCACGGAACCCUGGAAGUUGUAGCUCUGGAAGGGGAAUAGGGGUCACCUUACCAAACUACAGUUCCCAGCAUUCUUUGGGGGAAGCCAUGACUGUUUAAAUUGCUUUUU
Long non-coding RNA from Rhineura floridana, 783 nucleotides. RefSeq lists it as uncharacterized. The transcript has 3 exons. The record is from RefSeq and is a predicted model, not a curated record. NCBI's taxonomy places the organism in Eukaryota, Metazoa, Chordata, Lepidosauria, Squamata, Rhineuridae.